CUGGAGGUCUGCCAGAGUGAAUCUCCAUCCUGCAGGGGCUGAGGCACCCAGCUGCUACCAGUACUACCACCAUGUCACGUGGACCUUCUUUUUUCUUCUAAAUCUCAACCAUAUUAUCUAUCUGGCUGUGCAAGGAAGAUCAAUAAGGAGGAGCUCUAACAAUUUCCAUUGGUUUUCUGCAAUCCAAACCGAGAUGAUCCAGGCUUAAACAAGAC
RNAcentral lists this long non-coding RNA (215 nucleotides) under Gorilla gorilla gorilla (western lowland gorilla). RNAcentral's name for it is "lncRNA (ENSGGOG00000044626.1)". Lineage: Eukaryota; Metazoa; Chordata; Mammalia; Primates; Hominidae. The record is from RNAcentral.